RNAcentral lists this ribosomal RNA (445 nucleotides) under uncultured bacterium. RNAcentral's name for it is "SSU rRNA". It matches the Rfam family "Bacterial small subunit ribosomal RNA", at positions 26 to 518 of the family's 1533-position model. The record is from RNAcentral.
AGAACGAACGCUGGCGGCAGGCCUAACACAUGCAAGUCGAACGCCCUAGCAAUAGGGAGUGGCAGACGGGUGAGUAACGCGUGGGAACAUGCCUUUCGGUUCGGAACAACUCGGGGAAACUUGAGCUAAUACCGGAUACGCCCUUUUGGGGAAAGAUUUAUCGCCGGAAGAUUGGCCCGCGUCUGAUUAGCUAGUUGGCGGGGUAACGGCCCACCAAGGCGACGAUCAGUAGCUGGUCUGAGAGGAUGAUCAGCCACAUUGGGACUGAGACACGGCCCAAACUCCUACGGGAGGCAGCAGUGGGGAAUAUUGGACAAUGGGCGCAAGCCUGAUCCAGCCAUGCCGCGUGAGUGAUGACGGCCUUAGGGUUGUAAAGCUCUUUUGCCUGGGAAGAUAAUGACGGUACCAGGAGAAUAAGCCCGGCUAACUUCGCGCCAGCAGCCGC